Molecule: ribosomal RNA, 429 nt
Filed under: bacterium
Lineage: Bacteria
Description: partial 16S ribosomal RNA
Rfam family: Bacterial small subunit ribosomal RNA
Source: RNAcentral
UAGGGAAUCUUCCACAAUGGACGCAAGUCUGAUGGAGCAACGCCGCGUGAGUGAAGAAGGUUUUCGGAUCGUAAAGCUCUGUUGUUGGUGAAGAAGGAUAGAGGCAGUAACUGGUCUUUAUUUGACGGUAAUCAACCAGAAAGUCACGGCUAACUACGUGCCAGCAGCCGCGGUAAUACGUAGGUGGCAAGCGUUGUCCGGAUUUAUUGGGCGUAAAGCGAGCGCAGGCGGAAUGAUAAGUCUGAUGUGAAAGCCCACGGCUCAACCGUGGAACUGCAUCGGAAAAUGUCAUUGUUGAGUGCAGAAGAGGAGAGUGAAAUUCCAUGUGUAGCGGUGGAAUGCGUAGAUAUAUGGAAGAACACCAGUGGCGAAGGCGGCUCUCUGGUCUGCAACUGACGCUGAGGCUCGAAAGCAUGGGUAGCGAACAGG